Panicum virgatum (switchgrass) is the source of this 405-nucleotide long non-coding RNA. RefSeq lists it as uncharacterized. The record is from RefSeq and is a predicted model, not a curated record. Lineage: Eukaryota; Viridiplantae; Streptophyta; Magnoliopsida; Poales; Poaceae. The transcript is spliced from 2 exons.
AGAUUGUCCAGCCAACAGCUGUCCAGCCAAACAAUAAUGUCGCUGCAUCUGUAGAGGUGGCGGCAGUUGCAUCAAACAUGAGUACUGAAGAAGAGAAGCCUCAAAGCCACCCAGAGCAAUCUGAAGUCGGUGGUAAACCAAGGGCAGCUAGCAUUCGCACUACAAGAAGUAGUAAAGCUGGUGAAACACAUUUCGUCCCGUCCGCGGCAUACAUUUCAUCACAACAGCUACAGGAAAAAGCUGCAAAUAGGAGACGACAAAACGCCAAGAAGACAGGAGGUGAAAUUUUUGUACUCUACCUGCUGUGAAUGUUUCUGUUUCAGCUGUCAAAGUGUUUAUAGUUGUGUUAAUUAUUUGCUGUCAUUCUGAUAAUUUUAUGAUUCACAAUGAAACUUUGGUUUGAUA